CUUGAUCUUAUCUGAGCUGAGAAAAAGUGAUUUAUCGUUAGGGUUUCGGCCUUUUCGGGCCAAUGAGCAACCCCAAUAUCCUUGGCUGGCGGCUCCGGUGACGGAAAGGUUUCGAUUCCUUUUAUCGUUAAUUUCCCAUUGUUUUCAGCGAUGAAGACUGCUUGCUGCCUGAGCGCACGAUUUUACUCGGCGCUGUGAUGGCUAUUGCGAGCUUUAACACCCACCCAACCAAAUAUUUAUGUGUUUUUGAAAAUUUUAGAUUUUGAUUAUUUAAGGUUUCUUCUUCUAGCUUUUUGUUUUUGUUCGAUUCGAAUUUGUGGAUUAUGGUUUUGGUUUUCUGUUUUUGUUUUGUUUUGUUCUUAUCAACUAGAAGAAAACUUAAUUCGUGUGUAAGGCUUGUUGUUCCUAGUUAACUAGAGUUUCUUUGUAGCCUGAAAUAUAGAUUUUGGAUUACAAGUUAACUAAAAUGCGUACUGCUUCUGUCUAUAGUUUCCCAGACACUCGAGAAACUAUAAGUUUGAAAAGAUUCUUUCUUUUGUGUUAUAACUAUCGAUUAGAUCCAAGUAAAAGUUCAAAGAACCUAAUUUAAUCGGGUCAUGUUGGAUUUCUAGGAAGAAGAUGAGAAGCUUAUAUUCAAACAGCAGCUGAGUUUGUCCCAUUUAUGGCUUCUUCUGGUGCUAUCAGUGGCUGUUCCAUUACUCCAAUGGUGUUUGAGCAAACAGGACAAGACGGGUCUCUGGUUUGAGCUGUUGGGGUUGCUUUGUCUAAACACUCAACAUGGUAGACGUGAUGGCAGGGGAAAACACCAGUGGCUGGCAUGUCUCUGGAUCUCAAUAUCUUGUAUGAGCUCCAUGGAGAUUUCUGAGAUAAAAGCUUCUUGCAAAUCCCGCAUCUUUGAUGUGUCAUUGAACCUUGUUCAGAUCUCGGGUUUGCGACUUCUGUGUCAUUGGAUCUUUCAACAUCUAGCAACAUGUCAUUGCUGCUCGAGUUUGGUGAUACUUCUUCCUCUACUGGUGAGCCUUGGUGGUUUCUUGUGGACAUCAUGAUACUGGAACCAGGAUUUGUGGACGAGUCUUCUUGCGUAUGAUCAGGUUCAGGAUUCUCACAAACUGAAACCGGGUUGCAGAAGACUCGAGGGUAAGAGCAGUGAGUAAGGCUGGAAGACUGAUUGUUGGUCGGAGUCUCCCAUGGGACAGAUGACUCUGAAAGAGACAGCAACGAUCUGAAACUCGUUGAGAUGGCGGUACUGUCUCUAUCAAAACCGUUCUCCUGAGCCGUAAUUACAUCAAAGAGCGACAAGGUUCAGCCAAAGAUGAAACCAAGAAAAGCCCAUCUUGAAGAUUAAUGACUUGAUAUGUAAAGAAGACCAAAAUUACCUCGUUUAAGCAUUGAGGAUUUGAGCUAUUUGGUCUUGUUAGACUAUUAUUAACCAAGGAGGUUUUCUGUUCGUUCCCAUCAGAAGCAGAUGAGUAUGGAGCCCAUCUUGGCGACUGCUGAAAUCUGAAUUCCAAACUUUUUCUUUGUCUACUGCUGCCCGAGUGCAAUGCAAAAGCGGGACUCUCAUCACUCAUAUCCUGUUCCAAACCAUCUCUAGUAUAGCCAGCAGCAGGUGAGAAGCUGAAAUUUGUCCGCCAUUGCAAGGCUUCAGCUUGACUUGAUUGAGGAAUAUCCCUUCCGCUGUGGGGUGAAGAUUUUGUUGUAACCAGUGGCCUUGAGGCCACAAUACAACAGAGUGCACCCGUUUUGAGCUCUGGUUUAUCCUCACCGCCUUCAAGGCCAAACAAUGCUGCCAAAAGGAAGAGACUUGAAGAAUGAUUUCAGUUGAAACCAAAGUCGUCUUUUUGUAACUUGUAAACACUGUGGAAGGCUAAGUUAAUGAUUGUAAUCUUACUUAAUAAAUGAAAUUCUUGAUUAUAC
Arabidopsis thaliana (thale cress) is the source of this 1917-nucleotide long non-coding RNA. RefSeq annotates it as other RNA. NCBI's taxonomy places the organism in Eukaryota, Viridiplantae, Streptophyta, Magnoliopsida, Brassicales, Brassicaceae. The record is from RefSeq. The transcript has 2 exons.